This 555-nucleotide long non-coding RNA is filed under the name Hordeum vulgare. Its description in RNAcentral is "long non-coding RNA (HVUL_LNC014090)". The record is from RNAcentral. Lineage: Eukaryota; Viridiplantae; Streptophyta; Magnoliopsida; Poales; Poaceae.
GCCGCCGGCAAGCUGACCAAGGUCAAGGCCUCCUACAAGCUCGCCAAGGCCCCCGCAGCCCCCAAGAAGCCCAAGACCAAGGCGCCAGCCAAGAAGAAGCCCGCCGCGAAGAAGAAGGCGCCGGCCAAGAAGACCACCGCCAAGUCCCCUGCCAAGAAGAAGGCGCCGGCCAAGAAGACCACCGCCAAGGCCCCAGCCAAGACCAAGGCCGCCGCCAAGCCCAAGGCGGCAGCGAAGCCCAAGGCAGCCGCCAAGAAGGCACCAGCCAAGACCACCAAGGCCGCCGCCAAGCCCAAGCCGGCCGCCAAGACGAAGGCUGCUGCCAAGCCGAAGGGCCGCCCCGCCAAGGCCGCCAAGACCUCCGCCAAGGACGCACCAGGGAAGAAGGCGGCGGCACCCGCUACCCCCAAGAAGCCAGCCGCCAGGAAGCCGCCCACCAAGCGGUCGGCGCCGGUGAAGAAGGCCACGCCCGCCAAGAAGGCCCCCGCCAAGAAGGCCAAGAAGUAGAGAGCCCGUCCUCCCGCAACGAGUUUCCAUUAGCAGUUUUCCCAUGUU